AGCAAUUGAUUGUUUUUAAUCUGGAUAUAGGUUUGUUAUCCUUUCAGACAAAUAGAGCUGAGCAGUUCGGGCAAAACUUUCGAAAUUAUCCAUAGUAACUACUUGCGGUUUUGAAGAAUUAGGACAAGGGCUCCAAAGCAGCAGCUACAGCAAGCAAGCAAGUUGUUGCAUGCUUAAGCGAGCAUCUUGCCAGCCUGGAGCCCCUUCUGGAUGACACUCCCAGCAGGGAUAGAGAAGACCAGCAAGGAAUGGACAAAUACAUGGAGAUAUUAUUGCUAGAGGAGAGCAACAUAUUUUCCACUGAGCAAGGAUUACACUUCAGCCCUGUCAGAUAUUACAACAGACGAAUCCCCUCGGUGAAGGUGAGAAUAAGGCACGGCGCACCUGAGCUUUUCUUCCACGUGACUUACUCCAGAGCAUCACUUUGAUGGUCCAAACACCUCCUGGGAGCUGUGACCCACCCAGCUUCUCGCCCAGCCUGUGCCCCUCCUCCCUGAGCUCUCCAGGCCGGGAGGAUGUCACGCAGAACGGGGACUAGCACAGGGAGGGAAGUCACGGCCACAGCACUGCCCGGCACCUCGCACCGGGGCCUCGCAGGGCCGGAGACGACGCUCCGGUGCCGUACGGCGACGGAGGACGCGACCGCGAAGGGCCUCCUGAAGGCCCUGAGCACCAGGAUGCUUCCGAGAUGUUUUAUAGAUCCUCCUGUGCCCUCACAGCUGAGAAGCAAAGGUAUCGCGCUUUUCAGAGCAAAAUAAAGCGGCUCCAGAACACUGCUGACUUACGGAGAGAAAGAACAACUGAGCAGCAGAUGAAAAUGCCGGCCAUAUGGCUGUGGCUGAGCUGGCAGACUCCCCAAACCUCGGAUUUGUGAGGGGAGAAGGAGGGGGAGAGGGGAAGGACUCGGCAGGGAAGGAAAUUUAACCUCUAAGUCUCUCUCCCUUUCCCUAAUCGGAGUCAAGCUGCAAGUAUAUUUUGGUGAUGUCAGUACAACAUAUAGAACUAAAAUAGUAAUUUGGUACUUUCAGUGAUUCUGAAUACUUUUGGCACAAAAAGGAAAGGAUACAGCCAACUUUACAACAAAAAUAACUCAUUUUUCUGUCCCAAAAUAACUUCUUUGCUAUCAUUGUUUUUUAAGCCCAAGAUUAUUACAAAUGAACAAUACUUUUCCUUGCUUUUGUCAGUUUUAUUUCUCAUUUGGCACAGUCUUAUACUUAGUCAUCUUAUGGUGUCCUAUGUAUAGCCAGGGAAGGGGUUUUUUUCCCCCUUCAAGCAGCAAGAGGAAAAUCCCACUUGCAGAGGCAGCAACGUGACCGUAAGAGCACAACACCACAAAUCGCGACAAGGGCUCGCACAGUUCUCAAGACCAGGUUUUUCCGUCUGUGUUUUAUUUAUUUCAGCUGGUAACAUUUCAGAGUCAGUAGGGGAAAAUAAUCAAUUUAAUCUCUUAAUCUCUUGAAAAGUAAGAGGAGUUUAAGGCACUUAGCACCUAAGAACACUCUGCAUCCAGUUAACAGGCACGCUGUGCUUCAAGCAAAGCACCGAAGCAAGGGUCUUCUCUAGCCCCCAACCGAUCCUCCUCAGCAGAAGCCCUUCAGGAAAGUCACAGGUCACGACAGCUGCUGAAAGCAAUCUUUCAGUAGAGCUCCCUCCAUUACAAGUAACACUAGCUACAAAACCAUCAAGCCACCCCUAAUCACAAGGGAGCUCCUCCUCGCUCUGCCUUCCCACGUGCAAGUUUAGCCAAGCGAGGCAGGAUUUUUCCAAGGAAGGGUUUCCAGCGUUGGCCCCCAAACAACUGUGCUGGGUUUAAUAUUCUCUUCUGCUUCACCCUGUGAAGGAGCAAAAAGCAAGGGAGGAGCCCCGAUACCCUGGAGAAGCAUUUAUCCUUGCAGACUCUCUUAAAAGUUUGCAGUCUCUCCCUCGAGGGACAGGCACGAGAUGAGAAGGGGAGCGGGGGGAUUCUGCUUUUCAUUAGGAAAGUGAAAGGAAGCUGAAAUCUGCGUUCAUCAACCUGUUCAGCUGCUCUCAGGUUCGAUUUAUCAAGCUGUCUUCCACCGAUCACAAGCCAAGAAAACCCACAACUGAGUUAACGCUCCAAGCCAGGUCUAACCCCACCCAGCAAGAAACCGGCUCCGUCGGGGUUUGCCACUGCCCGGCUCCCGCAUCGCCUCUUCCCUCGCCCCGAGCGCGCGGCAGCGCAAGGGACGCACGUCCUCCUCCCCAGCCGCACGAGACCGCAGCGGGGAACCGCGGAAGAGCUCACGCAGCUUGGGAGCGCGAGGUCUCUGCCAAAGCUCGCCUCGCCGCGGGCUCCCCGCGUCCUCGCCGCGGCAUCGGGAAGCGCGGGAGCAGACGGCCCGAGCGAGCUCCGGCUAGCGUCAAAGACCGAAUGGCUGACAGGGACAACCUCCGGCAGAGCUGCAGCCAGAGGCCCUCUCCUCCUCCUCCUCUCUCGGAUAAUCUGCGGGAAACGACCAGUUGAAUCGCCCUGAGUCUUGUCUCCCUUCUGGCCCGUUACUCACAUCCCAGAGAAAAUCCCGGGCACGUGCCCUGCAUGCCACACGUGGGAAUUAUUUAAGGGACUGGAUUAAACUAAAAUUUGUUCAGAUCUAAAAGAAUUCCAACAGGGAAGACUCAGAUCACAGAAAGCCUUGACACUGUGGGAUAUAAAAGUGAGUCAACAAGUCUCGAGUAAACAUGUGGCUAAAAUCCUGCUCGUUGCAACACAUUACGGCCAGAUCACAAAUUCACAACUCACUACGAGUCGUAUCGACGCAAGAGGCACUUGUACGUCCCACAGCCAUUGUAACGUGUAUAAUGCAGCAGGGAGAUGAAAAGGAGCGUGUGUAUUUGUAAAACAAGCAAUCCAUUCGAACUAAAACAGCACGCUCACCAGCUAGACCAACGUUAAUGCUGGCAUUCACUAUUAUCCAUUUACAAUUCUGUUUACUUGAAUGACUGUCUGAAAAAAUUUGCACUCCAAUUCGCAUAUUAAAUCACUACAAAUAGAUAACGGUGAACUGAUCUACUGAUAAACCGGCUAUAAAAAGCUCAAAGGACAUCCAAAAAUCUCCAAAUGGAAGUCAUUGAAAUGGUACUUACCAAAGAUUGAGUGCCUAGCUUGUGCUGCUACCACAAUAAAGUGAUACCAAGGG
Long non-coding RNA from Dromaius novaehollandiae (emu), 3158 nucleotides. RefSeq lists it as uncharacterized. The transcript has 2 exons. The record is from RefSeq and is a predicted model, not a curated record. NCBI's taxonomy places the organism in Eukaryota, Metazoa, Chordata, Aves, Casuariiformes, Dromaiidae.